GACGAACGCUGGCGGCGUGCUUAACACAUGCAAGUCGAACGGAAAGGCCCUGCUUUUGUGGGGUGCUCGAGUGGCGAACGGGUGAGUAACACGUGAGUAACCUGCCCUUGACUUUGGGAUAACUUCAGGAAACUGGGGCUAAUACCGGAUAGGAGCUCCUGCUGCAUGGUGGGGGUUGGAAAGUUUCGGCGGUUGGGGAUGGACUCGCGGCUUAUCAGCUUGUUGGUGGGGUAGUGGCUUACCAAGGCUUUGACGGGUAGCCGGCCUGAGAGGGUGACCGGCCACAUUGGGACUGAGAUACGGCGCAGACUGCUACGGGAGGCAGCAGUGGGGAAUAUUGCACAAUGGGCGGAAGCCUGAUGCAGCAACGCCGCGUGCGGGAUGACGGCCUGCGGGUUGUAAACCGCUUUCGCCUGUGACGAAGCGUGAGUGACGGUAAUGGGUAAAGAAGCACCGGCUAACUACGUG
This 468-nucleotide ribosomal RNA is filed under the name uncultured bacterium. RNAcentral's name for it is "partial 16S ribosomal RNA". It matches the Rfam family "Bacterial small subunit ribosomal RNA", at positions 28 to 507 of the family's 1533-position model. The record is from RNAcentral.